This 1279-nucleotide ribosomal RNA is filed under the name uncultured bacterium. RNAcentral's name for it is "bacterial SSU rRNA". It matches the Rfam family "Bacterial small subunit ribosomal RNA", at positions 65 to 1354 of the family's 1533-position model. The record is from RNAcentral.
AACGAUGAAGCUGGAGCUUGCUCCGGUGGAUUAGUGGCGAACGGGUGAGUAACACGUGAGAAAUCUGCCCUUGACUCUGGGAUAACUGCGGGAAACUGUAGCUAAUACCGGAUACUUUCCUCGGUGGGCAUCCACUGGGGAAGAAAGAAUUUCGGUCAAGGAUGAUCUCGCGGCCUAUCAGCUAGUUGGUGAGGUAAUGGCUCACCAAGGCGACGACGGGUAGCCGGCCUGAGAGGGUGACCGGCCACACUGGGACUGAGACACGGCCCAGACUCCUACGGGAGGCAGCAGUGGGGAAUAUUGCACAAUGGGCGCAAGCCUGAUGCAGCAACGCCGCGUGAGGGAUGAAGGCAUUCGGGUUGUAAACCUCUUUAGCAGGGAAGAAGCGAAAGUGACGGUACCUGCAGAAAAAGCACCGGCUAAACUACGUGCCAGCAGCCGCGGUAAAUACGUAGGGUGCAAGCGUUGUCCGGAAUUAUUGGGCGUAAAAGAGCUCGUAGGCGGUUUGUCACGUCUGCUGUGAAAUUCCGAGGCUCAACCUCGGACUUGCAGUGGGUACGGGCAGGCUAGAGUGCGGUAGGGGAGAUGGGAAUUCCUGGUGUAGCGGUGGAAUGCGCAGAUAUCAGGAGGAACACCAAUGGCGAAGGCACAUCUCUGGGCCGUAACUGACGCUGAGGAGCGAAAGCGUGGGGAGCGAACAGGAUUAGAUACCCUGGUAGUCCACGCCGUAAACGGUGGGUGCUAGCUGUGGGCCACAUUCCACGUGGUCCGUGACGAAGUUAACACAUUAAGCACCCCGCCUGGGGAGUACGGCCGCAAGGCUAAAACUCAAAGGAAUUGACGGGGGCCCGCACAAGCGGCGGAGCAUGCGGAUUAAUUCGAUGCAACGCGAAGAACCUUACCAAGGCUUGACAUAUAGAGGAAAAGUGCAGAAAUGUACUCCCCGCAAGGUCUCUAUACAGGUGGUGCAUGGUUGUCGUCAGCUCGUGUCGUGAGAUGUUGGGUUAAGUCCCGCAACGAGCGCAACCCUCGUCCUAUGUUGCCAGCACGUAAUGGUGGGAACUCAUGGGAUACUGCCGGGGUCAACUCGGAGGAAGGUGGGGAUGACGUCAAAUCAUCAUGCCCCUUAUGUCUUGGGCUUCACGCAUGCUACAAUGGCCGGUACAGAGGGCUGCAAUACCGUAAGGUGGAGCGAAUCCCAAAAAGCCGGUCUCAGUUCGGAUUGAGGUCUGCAACUCGACCUCAUGAAGUCGGAGUCGCUAGUAAUCGUAGAUCAGCA